AUAGUACUCCCUCCGUUCGGAAUUACUUGUCGCAUAAAUGGAUAUAUCUAGACGUAUUUUAGUUCUAGAUACAUUUAUUUUCGAGACAAGUAAUUCCGAACGGAGGGAGUAAGUA
Non-coding RNA from Triticum aestivum (bread wheat), 115 nucleotides. NCBI's taxonomy places the organism in Eukaryota, Viridiplantae, Streptophyta, Magnoliopsida, Poales, Poaceae. The record is from Rfam.